Molecule: ribosomal RNA, 248 nt
Filed under: uncultured bacterium
Lineage: Bacteria
Description: partial 16S ribosomal RNA
Rfam family: Bacterial small subunit ribosomal RNA
Source: RNAcentral
UACCGCGAGGUGGAGCAAAACUUCAAAAAUAGGUCUCAGUUCGGACUGUAGGCUGCAACUCGCCUACACGAAGUUGGAAUUGCUAGUAAUCGUGGAUCAGCAUGCCACGGUGAAUACGUUCCCGGGUCUUGUACACACCGCCCGUCACACCAUGGGAGCUGGUAACACCCGAAGUCAGUAGUCUAACCGCAAGGAGGACGCUGCCGAAGGUGGGAUUAGCGACUGGGGUGAAGUCGUAACAAGGUAAC